This 447-nucleotide ribosomal RNA is filed under the name uncultured bacterium. RNAcentral describes it as "bacterial SSU rRNA". It matches the Rfam family "Bacterial small subunit ribosomal RNA", at positions 97 to 520 of the family's 1533-position model. The record is from RNAcentral.
GGCGGACGGGUGCGUAACACGUAGGGUAUUUACCUUCCGGCGGGGGACAACAGUCCGAAAGGAUGGCUGAAUACCGCGUACGUCGGCGAGAUCUCCGGAUCACGUCGGGAAAGAUGGCCUCUCCAUGGAAGCUGUCACCGGAAGAUGAGCCUGCGGCCCAUCAGCUUGUUGGCGAGGUAACGGCUCACCAAGGCGAAGACGGGUAGCUGGUCUGAGAGGAUGAGUCAGCCACACUGGGACUGCGACACGGCCAGACUCCUACGGGAGGCAGCAGUGGGGAAUAUUGGGCAAUGGGCGAAAGCCUGACCCAGCCACGCCGCGUGAGUGAUGAAGGCCUUCGGGUCGUAAAGCUCUGUGGGGAGGGACGAACAAGUCUGGCGUAAACAGCGCCGGGCCCUGACGGUACCUCCUUAGCAAGCACCGGUAACCAUGUGCCAGCCGCCGCGG